CCUACGGGGGGCAGCAGUGGGGAAUAUUGGGCAAUGGGCGCAAGCCUGACCCAGCAACGCCGCGUGAAGGAAGAAGGCUUUCGGGUUGUAAACUUCUUUUCCCAGGGACGAAAAAAGUGACGGUACCUGAGGAAUAAGCCACGGCUAACUACGUGCCAGCAGCCGCGGUAAGAAGGAGGCGGGAAGCGUUAUCCGGAUUUAUUGGGUGGAAAGGGGGUGGUGGGGGGAACGGAAGUCAGAAGUGGAAACUCAGGGCUCAACCCUGAGCCUGCAUUUGAAACUGUGUUUCUUGAGUGAUGGAGAGGCAGUCGGAAUUCCGAGUGUAGCGGUGAAAUGCGUAGAUAUAAGGAGGAACACCAGUGGCGAAGGCGGAUUGCUGGACAGUAACUGACGCUGAGGCGCGAAAGCGUGGGGAGCAAACAGGAUUAGAUACCCCAGUAGUC
Molecule: ribosomal RNA, 443 nt
Filed under: uncultured bacterium
Lineage: Bacteria
Description: partial 16S ribosomal RNA
Rfam family: Bacterial small subunit ribosomal RNA
Source: RNAcentral